Molecule: ribosomal RNA, 397 nt
Filed under: uncultured bacterium
Lineage: Bacteria
Description: partial 16S ribosomal RNA
Rfam family: Bacterial small subunit ribosomal RNA
Source: RNAcentral
AUACGUAGGGAGCAAGCGUUGUCCGGAAUUACUGGGCGUAAAGGGCGUGUAGGCGGCCGAUCAAGUCAGGUGUGAAAUUUCAGGGCUCAACCCUGAGCGUGCACUUGAAACUGGUUGGCUUGAGUGCAGAAGAGGAAAGUGGAAUUCCCAGUGUAGCGGUGAAAUGCGUAGAUAUUGGGAGGAACACCAGUGGCGGAGGCGACUUUCUGGUCUGUAACUGACGCUGAGGCGCGAAAGCUAGGGGAGCGAACAGGAUUAGAUACCCUGGUAGUCCUAGCCGUAAACGAUGGGUACUAGGUGUAGGGGGUUUAGACGCCCUCUGUGCCGCAGUUAACACAUUAAGUACCCCGCCUGGGGAGUACGGCCGCAAGGCUGAAACUCAAAGGAAUUGACGGGG